This 424-nucleotide ribosomal RNA is filed under the name Verrucomicrobiota bacterium. RNAcentral's name for it is "Verrucomicrobia bacterium partial 16S ribosomal RNA". It matches the Rfam family "Bacterial small subunit ribosomal RNA", at positions 355 to 776 of the family's 1533-position model. Lineage: Bacteria; Pseudomonadati; Verrucomicrobiota. The record is from RNAcentral.
UGAGGAAUAUUGGUCAAUGGAGGAAACUCUGAACCAGCCAAGUCGUGUGAAGGAUGACGGUCCUAUGGAUUGUAAACUUCUUUAGUAGGCGAGUAAGGAUAGGUACGUGUACCUAUUAGAAAGUAGCCUAAGAAUAAGUAUCGGCUAACUCCGUGCCAGCAGCCGCGGUAAUACGUAGGAUACGAGCGUUAUCCGGAUUUAUUGGGUUUAAAGGGUGCGUAGGUGGCUGAUUAAGUCAGUGGUGAAAAGCUAUGGCUCAACCAUAGUCUUGGCGUUGAUACUGGUUAGCUUGGGUGUAGAUGAUGUAGGCGGAACGAGUAGUGUAGCGGUGAAAUGCAUAGAUAUUACGCAGAACUACGAUUGCGAAGGCAGCUUACAAAACUACUACUGACACUGAGGCACGAAAGAGUGGGUAUCAAACAGG